UACGGAGGGGGCUAGCGUUGUUCGGAAUUACUGGGCGUAAAGCGCACGUAGGCGGCUUUGUAAGUUAGAGGUGAAAGCCCGGGGCUCAACUCCGGAAUUGCCUUUAAGACUGCAUCGCUAGAAUUGUGGAGAGGUAAGUGGAAUUCCGAGUGUAGAGGUGAAAUUCGUAGAUAUUCGGAAGAACACCAGUGGCGAAGGCGACUUACUGGACACAUAUUGACGCUGAGGUGCGAAAGCGUGGGUAGCAAACAGG
RNAcentral lists this ribosomal RNA (253 nucleotides) under uncultured bacterium. Its description in RNAcentral is "partial 16S ribosomal RNA". It matches the Rfam family "Bacterial small subunit ribosomal RNA", at positions 524 to 776 of the family's 1533-position model. The record is from RNAcentral.